UGCGUAGGCGGACAAUUAAGUCAGAUGUGAAAUCCCAGGGCUCAACCUUGGGGCUGCAUUUGAUACUGGUUGUCUAGAGUGCAGGAGAGGAGAGUGGAAUUCCUAGUGUAGCGGUGAAAUGCGUAGAUAUUAGGAAGAACACCAGUGGCGAAGGCGACUCUCUGGACUGUAACUGACGCUGAGGCACGAAAGCGUGGGGAGCGAACA
Molecule: ribosomal RNA, 207 nt
Filed under: uncultured bacterium
Lineage: Bacteria
Description: partial 16S ribosomal RNA
Rfam family: Bacterial small subunit ribosomal RNA
Source: RNAcentral